GGAAGUCUGGUGCCAGCAGCCGCGGUAAUUCCAGCUCCAAUAGCGUAUAUUAAAGUUGUCGCAGUUAAAAAGCUCGUAGUUGAACCUCGGGAUCAAUGGAUCGGUCAUGCCAUCGGUAUGUACUGGUCUCAUUGGUUCUCACCUUCUAAGGAACCAUGAUGUCAUUCAGUUGAUGUUGUGGGGAAUUAGGACUGUUACCUUGAAAAAAUUAGAGUGUUUAAAGCAGGCUAACGCUUGAAUACAUUAGCAUGGAAUAAUGAAAUAGGACAUCGCAUUCUAUUUUGUUGGUUUCUAGGAUCGAUGUAAUGAUUAAUAGGGAUAGUUGGGGGCAUUAGUAUUCAAUUGUCAGAGGUGAAAUUCUUGGAUUUAUUGAAGACUAACUACUGCGAAAGCAUUUGCCAGGGAUGUUUUCAUUAAUCAAGAACGAAAGUUAGGGGAUCGAAGACGAUCAGAUACCGUCGUAGCCUUAACCAUAAACUAUGCCGACUAGGGAUCGGAUGAUGUUGAUUUUUUUAAUGACUCAUUCGGCGCCUACGGGAAAC
Molecule: ribosomal RNA, 542 nt
Filed under: uncultured Glomeromycotina
Lineage: Eukaryota; Fungi; Glomeromycota
Description: SSU rRNA
Rfam family: Eukaryotic small subunit ribosomal RNA
Source: RNAcentral